AGAUGAACAACCCAAGGACUUAGGAAGGAUGCACAGCUCACCUAGGACAGCUGAUGAUUUCAAGCCAGAUAUCCAUUCAUCUCUCCACCACCAACCCCCAGAAUCAGCCAACUCGAGUGAGUGAACUUUGGCUGCAAUGGAGGUGCCCAAAUCCCAAAGGUGCCAAGUGUGGCCCCAGUGCUACACAAGCCAUGUGGAAGCAAAAUGGCAACUGACCACAUCCAAGUGGCUGCUAUGGACCUGGACCAGGAAAAGGCUUUAAUUCUUUUGAUGGACUUCUAUCUCUCUGCCUAACACUGACCUGUCUUCCCACCUUGGAGAAAAACAUCCCAUGGAGGUAAAACACAAAGAAGGAAGGAUAGUAAUGAGCUGUCACUCUAAAACGUA
This is a long non-coding RNA of Manacus vitellinus (golden-collared manakin), 387 nucleotides long. RefSeq lists it as uncharacterized. Lineage: Eukaryota; Metazoa; Chordata; Aves; Passeriformes; Pipridae. The transcript has 3 exons. The record is from RefSeq and is a predicted model, not a curated record.